AGUCAGCAGUGGAAGAGGGCGUAGCUUUGAUUGCUCAAGUUGCCCUCUUCUAUCUUUCUCUUUUUGUUGUUCGGCUCGAUAGAAUUGUUU
Molecule: transfer RNA, 90 nt
Filed under: Solanum tuberosum (potato)
Lineage: Eukaryota; Viridiplantae; Streptophyta; Magnoliopsida; Solanales; Solanaceae
Also listed under: 9 other names
Description: tRNA-Ile
Source: RNAcentral